GUUGUAACGGCCAGGUAUUUGAUAGCCCAGCCUCACUGUUUAUUUCCCACAUGCUCGAGUAAUAAUCAUGUGUGCGUCCUGCUCACGAGUACACGCCCCGUUUUUUUUUCAUCUCUUACCUUAUUCGUCUGUUGUUCGCGUCACCACUGAAAUUGCCUCCUUCCUCCUUCCUGGAGAAUGGCAGCUGUUUGCUGUCUACUGGGGUGAGCAGACGCCACUGUUGCGCGGCCAGUGGACUGAGCCAUCUUGCCCAGGGAGCGAUUUCGGGGACCAGGAGGGACUGAUAACAGAGUGCGGUAGUACGAGGAUAUGUGGAGUAGGAGAAACUUGCAGAGAAUCGGAGAAAACCGGCAAGUAAAGAAACAAACAGCCUGGUUCCUCUUCUGCUUCUGCGACGUCAUAGCGCCUGAUUGGCGUGUCGUAGUGACGUUCCAAACCCGAUUAACUGCCAGUGUGUAGCCUCUGUUGGGUCUGACUUCUGCGUAACGUGACACGGGUCACGUGAUCAGUACCUCUCCUUUACUGUUGUGGAGCUUUGUGUGUGUGGGCUGAAGGGCACCAAGGAAGAAAAGGACACUGGUGGGGGGGAGAAAACAGGAAAAAUGUGUUGAAAGUAUUGUCUGUGGCCAUCAAUGUAUUCAAUAUAUAAUGCAAACUUGAUUUCUGUCUUGUUGCUGGUUUUUUUUUAUUGUUUAUUAUCUUUGUGACACUCUCUAAGUAAAGGGCAUGCAUAGUG
Molecule: long non-coding RNA, 736 nt
Organism: Acanthochromis polyacanthus (spiny chromis)
Lineage: Eukaryota; Metazoa; Chordata; Actinopteri; Pomacentridae
Exons: 3
Source: RefSeq, a predicted model, not a curated record